UUCACUCCCAGCAGCGUGGGAUCCUCGCCCAAGGCCGGGAAAACACAGGAGUGAAAUGACAGCUAUACAAGUACACUCCACAGGCUGCACAAAAAGAAGAAAAACAGUGCUACACACACCAGUAAGCAACGGCACUGGCAUGCUCCACCUCCUGUGGGCAGCCUGGGCAUGAGGUCAUUUUCCAAAACAGGCAGCUGGUCAGCAUUUUCCAUGCCCAGGGCAAGUUCCCCUUGAUGGGCAGAGCCUAACGACCAGCGCUGAGUCAGUCUAGGAGCAGCAAGACUGGAAACCCUGGCGCAGGAGCCACGUCAGCGUGACUCAAGCAAUGGCAAGUUCUCACAGCAACAACAUGAAACGCCCAACAGGGUGAUGACUAUGGGAGGAAAACGGACCAGAACCUGGACAGUGCGUGCACUGCACACCCUCCUGGUUAACAGCCCCAUGCCCCGAGAGCUGUUCUUUACAUGAAUUUCUUCUGUUAAAGCAGCUCGUGUGGCUUCUGCAGCCUGGUGGAGCCACCACACGUGCCUGUCACGGAGGUGAGGAGUGGGUGCCCACCAGCAUUUCACGCUGACCUUCCGGAAACACGGUGUCCCUCAGAGCCUUCAGCCUGCAGGACAGAGCCACCCCUGGUCGUUCUGUUGGAAUUUCGGCGUUCCUGUCUUUUAGGCGACAUCCGCCAAGCGCAGUUUGUGUGAAGAAACGCAUUCUGUCGUGUCCACCGGGGCCCAGGGCGGCUGCUGUGCACGAACCAGCUUUUGUGGCCCACAGAGCGAUGACUCAGUCUGGAGCUUGGCUACUCUCCGGCCCGGGGUGCUGGCAUUUCCCUGGGGCCCAGUGCCUCUAUUUUCCCCAUGAGGCCUCAGCCAAAAGGAGGUUCUGGAAGAAAGGAAAACACUGGUGCGGAGAGAGAAGGGCUGGCCAAGAGGCACCACGCCAUCAGUGCUGAUGGGGAGAGGCGGCUCCAGCCCGGCACUGCUGUCCUUACGAGGCGUGUUUCCUUUUUAUUCAGAGGAAGAGAAGCAGAGGAACACGUCAUGGAGACGGACUGAGUGGAAGGAGCCAGGGAUGGCGACAAGCAGAAGGAAGUUGUUUUGUCCCCAUCCAGGGAAGCUUUUGUUUCAUGAGACUUACUUGCACACGUCUGGUGGCCGCCCUGGACAUUCACGGACUUUUGUUUUCACUCAGAUUUUGUGGUUCAAGUGACACAAAGCAUGAGGACGUCACUGGGCGAGAGGGCCAGAUCACCCCACCGCGGAGGGGCGCGCCCCAGCUGUGCACCACGGGAGUGGGCUUGUCCAGUCUUCAAACACUGGGACAGGAUGUGCCCAUCUCAUGUAAGACAUGA
RNA transcript from Cercocebus atys (sooty mangabey), 1348 nucleotides. RefSeq lists it as uncharacterized. The transcript has a single exon. NCBI's taxonomy places the organism in Eukaryota, Metazoa, Chordata, Mammalia, Primates, Cercopithecidae. The record is from RefSeq and is a predicted model, not a curated record.